Long non-coding RNA from Trachemys scripta elegans, 1444 nucleotides. RefSeq lists it as uncharacterized. The transcript is spliced from 5 exons. The record is from RefSeq and is a predicted model, not a curated record. Lineage: Eukaryota; Metazoa; Chordata; Testudines; Emydidae.
CAGUGGAUCUAAGUGAACCAUAACCUCCGUCACCAGAUGUCCCACUGAUUGCGCAAAAAACGUGUAAUGAGUCGUGCAUCCAGGGAGAAUGCAUAGUAUCUUCUUGGUACAUCUAAACAAAAACAAGAUUACUGUAAAAGGAAGGAGUGCAUCAGGUUGAUUUGCCAUCAUUGGGGAAAAAAAAGAAGCAGGUAUCAAUGGGGAGACAAAGAGUACCAACUAGGAGCCGAAUCUUUGGAGGAUAAGACCACUGAGGAUCUGGUUACACCUAACGCUUGUGGCACCUUACAUGCUCUAAGAAAUGCACACAAACUGAAUAUGGCAAGGUUGGAGAGAAAGUACAUCAAGCAACAGGAAAAUUGAUGGGACAAGUGCCAGCUGUGGGCAAGACUUGCCUUAUACUAAGUCCCAAGGGAGUGACCUCUUGACAUGGGCCAUGUCUCAGACUGGGGACAAGUCAGGAUUCAUGAAGCUGUUUCUGUCUGUCUUUUCCAGCCAUAUAGGCAUUGCUGUCAGUGAGGCCAAUGGGAUCAUCCAAGGACAGCAUGUGGCCCAUGGAGUACAGAAAAUCACCUGGCAUCACUGAAAGCCUGACCUCAAGAAUGCCUUCCCUGCAGAUUUGAUUGUGCAUUGAACCUGUUCUGAGGGAAAGUAACAUAUACAACUGCAUGCUGGAACAUAGCUCACAUUUCUUCUGUCUGGUUAGCAGCUGGAAAUGACGUGGAUUUAGGAAUGUGCCUGCACAGUACUUUGGGCUGUGAACCACUAAGAUAGGCAAGCACUGCGCAUUAAGCAAGUCAAGACAUGCUGGAGGUACAGUUUUAAUGUCUGAUUUCUCAUCUGCUUUCAAUGACUCAAUUCCACGGUCUACAGCAGAGCAGCUGGCGAUUGUAUAGGGCACAACUAAUUUCUCCUGGCUGGUGUCCUGCUGAAGUGGGUUUGGACACGUUGGGCUGCAUUGCCUCUUGGAAGAAAGCUCAAGGACCACGGGAGAAACAAGUAUCCGUCUGGGAACAGGAGAAAAUGUUUGCCUUGGGGCAGCUGAAGCUCUGGUGGCUCUGGGUCCCAAUUAGUGUCAGUUACCCCCAGGUCAAAGGAAGGGACUCAUUCAAGUUUUAAAAAAUCCUCAAAGCUUUGAAGCCUUCCCAAGUCUAAGGGCACCCAGAAACAGGGGCUUCUUUGGUGUGGAUGGUAGCUAUAAUCUUUGCUGAAUUGGGUCCCUAUUUAAGAGAUCUCUGUAUCUGCGGCAUCUCAUGGGAACUAUUAGCCUCCGGAUUCUUGCUUUAACUUAUUUUGUUUAACAUUCGUCAAUAAUACAGAGUGUGCAAAAGAAAUGAUACAACCCAUCACAUUGGCUCAUCACUCACAAACUAAGAAUUUCUUUACUAGCAGCCUGGGGAAUUCUCAUUAACACAAAGCCAAGCUCCAAAUAGCUACCUCAAAC